RNA transcript from Leptidea sinapis, 4128 nucleotides. It is a transcript of the gene named calcitonin gene-related peptide type 1 receptor, with no coding region annotated. Lineage: Eukaryota; Metazoa; Arthropoda; Insecta; Lepidoptera; Pieridae. The record is from RefSeq and is a predicted model, not a curated record. The transcript has 8 exons.
CGGAAGUAGACGGUCGCUUGUUCAAUUCGUCUACACUCUCGCGAAUACAGGGUUUACAGUGUGGUAAUAAAUUGUAUGAAAACCAGAGUGAAGUGAUAGUAUAGUGGAGUUCAAUCUGUGUCGUAUCGAGAGUGAAGUUAAUGAUAUUUUCAAGGUGCUGAUGAGCAGUAAUGUGGACGCUGAUGCGGUGAGCAGCUGGCAUGGAGGACCCUGAGAGGAUUGCGCGUGACCAGGCUGCGUGCGACCUUGCCAACAACCUCACCGUGCUGCCUGACGGUGUAUUCUGUCCUGGAACCUUCGACACGUGGCUCUGCUGGCCCCCGACUCUCGCCAACUCCACAGCAUACGCGCACUGCCCCGAGUUCGUCCCGGGAUUCAGUACAGAUUUGAUAGCACACAAAGAAUGUACUGCCAAUGGCACGUGGUGGACACAUCCCGACACGGGGAGGCCGUGGUCCAACUACACCACCUGCGUUCCAGAAGAUGACGUCACCGAUAACAUAAUAGCGUUGUACGAGACUGGCUACUCCAUAUCUCUGGUCGCUCUCCUGAUCUCACUAGCAAUACUCUUCUAUUUCAAGAGCCUGAGAUGCGCCCGGAUCACUGUGCAUAUGAACCUCUUCGCGUCGUUCGCCCUCAACAACGCACUCUGGCUGGCUUGGUACGGCCUCGUCGUUGAUUCCGCUGACGUCCUCACUGAAUCCCCAGUGUGGUGCCGGACUCUGAAUGCUAUCCUACAAUACGGUCUGCUGACAAACUAUACCUGGAUGUUGUGUGAAGGACUCUACCUGCACACGGUGCUCGUCAGUGCCUUUGUGUCUGAGCGGCGGUUGGUGCGAGCCUUGCUGGCUGCCGGAUGGUUGCUGCCGGUACCGUCUGCUGUCAUCCACGCAGCUCGUCGAGCGGCAGCCGACGAGCCUAUGUGCUGGGCGGACGACGGCGCGCCUCGACCUGAACUAGCAAUUCUCGUCUGCAUCACUGUUCUGCUAAAUCUGGCCUUUCUCUGCAACAUAGUGCGGGUUCUCUGCACGAAGCUGCGAGCCGGUGGUGGUGCCGGGUUAGCAAGACCAUCAGCAACAGCGUUACACGCUUUACGAGCCACUUGUCUACUGGCUCCUUUGCUUGGAAUUCAGUAUCUGUUGACGCCUUUCCGGCCGUCCAAAGAUGCGGGCUGGUGGUUGGCAUACGAGUACGUAUCAGCGAUUAUCACAUCUCUCCAAGGACUGUGUGUGGCUGUGCUGUACUGCUUCUGCAAUGGGGAAGUACUAGCUCAGCUCCGCAGACGCUGGAGAGUGCUGACAUUUCGACCUCGAGCUAAUUCAACUACCAACACCACAGUUUCGUUCGUAAGAUCUGGUGGGCCGGGCGGCGGGGAAGAGAAGGUCUGACUAGCGACCGGCGGCGCGGACGUCGAGGAGAUCGUCGACGACAAUCGACAACGUCGGAUCCGCUUCGAGACCGACAGCGACGAAGACGCGCCGCCGCUUACGCGCCUGCUCUAAUAUCGAGUACUCACAAGCUUAAUAACACAAACUUAAUGAAGAAGGAGUUCAUCAUAUAGAGAUCCACCUUUUCCGUGCAGUCAGCCAGCAUCUGUCCUCAGGCGUUCCGAUUUCCAUAACCAAAUUGCCCCAAUUGUUGAACUCAUCGCCGCUAUGUAUGAACGAGGAACCCGACACCACCCUUGGAUCGGGGCCUUAUAUUGUCAUGUUUUUAUUUGAGGGGGUUUCCCAUAAUCGCCACGCUAGGCAGGCGGGUUGGCGAUUGCAGUAGAUGGUGGCGUUCUCUUGGAAAGAUGCUGCUCCGUUAUUUGUAACCCUAAGUUGCCUCUUACGACACACGGAGAUAGGGUGGUGCUAUUCUGAUGCGACUACACGUGCACUAAGGUACCUACUAGUGGUAAAAUAAUGCUUCUUAAAUAGACGAAUUAGCACCUCUAGAUUAAGCUUUGAGAUUUUAUAUCAUUGUCAUAGUAGUAUAUUAUAGUCUAUCUAGACUUAUUAAUUAUCUAAGACAAAUUAUUAUCACAGUGAUGUUACAUUCAUCCAAAAUGUUUUAAACAAUGUCCAAUUUCUCCAUUCCAAUCAUCAAGGCUUCAGGACGUUCACUAUUCAAAUCUGUUAGGUAGAUACAUUUUUAUAACAAAUUUAUAAUUGUUACAUUUGAGACAGGCAUCCGUGACUUGUGUUUGUUUUAUAUCAAAAAAAAUCUACAGAUAUAUAUAUACUAUACAAUAAAAAUAUAUUUACAUAAAUAUAUUAUGAUGGUUUUAAAUAUUCUUCUGAGUCGUAUAGAGUGGAUUAUUCAAAAACCACUGCGCAUUUUUUAAAUAAAUAAAUAGAUAGACGAAAUUGCUUAUCAGCAAAUUUUAUGCGACCCUAAAUGGUUUCUCAUAGUUUUAACGGUUAGGUAUUAAUAACAUCCAAUAACAGAAGGUUGAGUCAAUCUGUGAUCGUGGCGCAUGAAACAGUGCUGAAACAUCGGGAGCUCAACGAAAGCAAAUAUUUUAAAGAAAAUUUCAGUCAUAUAAAUAAUUAAAUAAGUAUUAUAAUUAAGUAUGUAAUAGUAAAAAUACUUAAUUGUAUUUAAUUUGUAAAUUAUAGCAAGGAGGGGACUGAGCGCUUACAUAACUAAUUUUAAAAAUUAUUAAAACUAUCAAGUUCUGAUCGAAAAGUUUAAAUGUAGGUAAGCCAACCCUAACGUUGCUUUAAAUGUACUUAAUUGUAUGAUAGUAAAUAUUACUUAAGUAUAAAUAAUGAAGUAUUGUUAUAAUAUUAUUUUCAACACGCUUGCUCGUAAAGUGACCCUUAUUACAUCAUUUUUAGGGCCAUAAACCGAACUAUAGCACAUGCGUGCAUUAAAUAAUACACACUAAUGCAUAAUAGAAUUAUUAUCUACUUCAAAGUUAAAUCAGUACCUAACUGCAAAUUAGGUAUAUGAGAGUAAACAGAGCAUUUUCAAUUAAACCGGGUAAUACAGUUUAUUUGUUACAACAAAGAGGUUAUAUGCCGCUGUAAAUCCAAUUAAAUUUUUGGAAUAAAUAAAUGUGUCCCUAAUUAUGACGCAAAUACAUUUAUUAUUAUCAAAUUAUUUAUAAUUCACACUAUUUUGUUGUAAAAUAUAUGCAUCUGAUCACUAAAAUUAUAAUUUUGUAGUUGGCUGUAUGUAAUCAAACACCUUACAUUUAGCGCGUGAAAAAAAAAAACCUGCGCGCCUUUUUCCCGUAACGAUAAAAUAUGCAAUUAUUACUUAUUGUUUGUUUUUUCCUCGCAAGUGUGUUGAAAAAGUGCGUAUGAUACUCGUGAGCAAUUUGCUCACUAGACACUCGGCUGAUUUACGCCCUCGCCUACGGCUCGUGUUUAGUGAGCAACUAAGCUCACUAGUAACAUAAUAUACCUACUAAUACAUGCUUAUAAUUUAAAGAUAUAUUGAGAGACUAAUAAAUCUCUUAAAUAUUAUUAUAUCUUAGUACCUACCUAUGAAUAUAAUUAAUUAUUAUAUGGUCAUGAUUACCUAAUUUAUUGUAAAAAAUGAAAAAUAAAAAGUUAUUGUGAAAUGGUCUUAGCGGCCUACAAAUUAUAUUGUACAAACUAUAAUGUAAGUAAGCAGUAUUAUCUAUUUUUAUGUAUAUUUUAGUUAAAAUUAAGUGAUCGUCUGCUUGGUCAAUAUUACGUUUGCUCAUUAGAACACUCACAGAUAAUAUAAUUUAUAAUGUUUUGUGAAAGGCCCAGACUAUAAUGAAAGUCUAAAUACUAUUUGGUAAAUCAUUUUUAUAAAUAGUUUUUACAAGGCAUCUUAUUUUAUAUAGGAAAUGGUCUUACUGAAUAUAGUUAGUUUUUUUUUACAUUUCUGCAAUCUCAACAUAGAAUAUCCACAAUAUUGUUUAUAGAUACAUAUAUUGUUUAUUCAAUUGUAUAAAACGAGUAUUUUAUGAGCACUGUACAUUAACUCGUAUUACGAAUUAUUUACAACACGCAUUUGUAUAAAUAUAGAAUAUACAUAAAAUAGUAUAUCAAUAUACAUAAAUUAGUAUAUAUAAACAAUAGUACAUUGUAAAUAUGUUCAUUAUCAACUGUACCAACACUUCUUAUGAGAUAUUAUGGAAUUGGAAAUAAAGUGUUAUUUGAA